CCUACGGGCGGCUGCAGUGGGGAAUAUUGGACAAUGGGGGGAACCCUGAUCCAGCCAUGCCGCGUGUGUGAAGAAGGCCCUCGGGUUGUAAAGCACUUUCAGUGAGGAAGAACGCCUGGUGGUUAAUACCCAUCAGGAAAGACAUCACUCACAGAAGAAGCACCGGCUAACUCCGUGCCAGCAGCCGCGGUAAUACGGAGGGUGCGAGCGUUAAUCGGAAUUACUGGGCGUAAAGCGCGCGUAGGUGGCUUGAUAAGCCGGUUGUGAAAGCCCCGGGCUCAGCCUGGGAACGGCAUCCGGAACUGUCAAGCUAGAGUGCAGGAGAGGAAGGUAGAAUUCCCGGUGUAGCGGUGAAAUGCGUAGAGAUCGGGAGGAAUACCAGUGGCGAAGGCGGCCUUCUGGACUGACACUGACACUGAGGUGCGAAAGCGUGGGUAGCAAACAGGAUUAGAUACCCUGGUAGUC
Molecule: ribosomal RNA, 465 nt
Filed under: Vreelandella stevensii
Lineage: Bacteria; Pseudomonadati; Pseudomonadota; Gammaproteobacteria; Oceanospirillales; Halomonadaceae
Description: partial 16S ribosomal RNA
Rfam family: Bacterial small subunit ribosomal RNA
Source: RNAcentral